UAAGCGGAGGAAACCAACAGGGAUUGCCCUAGUAACGGCGAGUGAAGCGGCAACAGCUCAAAUUUGAAACCUGGCGCUUGCGUCCGGAUUGUAAUUUGCAGAGGAUGCUUCUGGGCAGCGGCCGGUCUAAGUUCCUUGGAAAAGGACGUCAUAGAGGGUGAGAACCCCGUAUGCGACCGGCGCGCACCCUCCACGUAGCUCCUUCGACGAGUCGAGUUGUUUGGGAAUGCAGCUCUAAAUGGGAGGUAAAUUUCUUCUAAAGCUAAAUAUUGGCCCGAGACCGAUAGCGCACAAGUAGAGUGAUCGAAAGAUGAAAAGCACUUUGGAAAGAGAGUUAAAAAGCACGUGAAAUUGUUGAAAGGGAAGCGCUUCCCACCAGACUCCGCGGCGGUGUUCCGCCGGUCUUCUGACCGGUCUACUCGCCGCCGUGGGGCCAGCAUCGUCUGGGGCCGCCGGAUAAGACCGCAGGAAUGUAGCUCAUUGAGUGUUAUAGCCUGCGGGGAUGCGGCGCGCCCCGGGCGAGGUCCGCGCUUCGGCAAGGAUGCUGGCGUAAUGGUGGGCAGCGGCCCGUCUUGAAACACGGACCAAGGAGUCUAACAUCUAUGCGAGUGUUCGGGUGUCAAACCCCUACGCGUAAUGAAAGUGAACGGAGGUGGGAGCUUCGGCGCACCAUCGACCGAUCCUGAUGUCCUCGGAUGGAUUUGAGUAAGAGCAUAGCUGUUGGGACCCGAAAGAUGGUGAACUAUGCCUGAAUAGGGUGAAGCCAGAGGAAACUCUGGUGGAGGCUCGCAGCGGUUCUGACGUGCAAAUCGAUCGUCAAAUUUGGGCAUAGGGGCGAAAGACUAAU
This 847-nucleotide ribosomal RNA is filed under the name Zasmidium fructigenum. Its description in RNAcentral is "eukaryotic LSU rRNA". It matches the Rfam family "Eukaryotic large subunit ribosomal RNA", at positions 47 to 935 of the family's 3401-position model. Lineage: Eukaryota; Fungi; Ascomycota; Dothideomycetes; Mycosphaerellales; Mycosphaerellaceae. The record is from RNAcentral.